GACGAACGCUGGCGGCGUGCUUAACACAUGCAAGUCGAACGGAAAGGCGCUGCGUUUGCGGGGUGCUCGAGAGGCGAGCGGGGGAGUAACACGUGAGUAAACUCCACUUGACUGAGGGAGAAAUUCAGGAAAAUGGGGCUAAUACCGGAUAGGAGAUCCUGCUGCAUGGGGGGGGUUGGAAAGAUUCGGCGGUGGGGGAUGGAAUAGCGGCUUAUGAGCUGGUUGGUGGGGUAGUUGCUUACAAAGGCUUUGAAGGAUAGCCGGCCUGGGAGCGUGACCGGCGACAUUGCGCCUGCGAUACGGCCCAGACUCCUACGGGAGGCAGCAGUGGGAAAUAUUGCACAAUGGGCGGAAGCCUGAUGCAGCAGCGCCGCGUGCGUGAUGCCGUCUUUCGGGUUGUAAACCGCUUUCUCCUGUGACGAAGCGUUAUUGACGGUAAUGGGUCAAGAAGCACCGGCUAACUACGUG
This 468-nucleotide ribosomal RNA is filed under the name uncultured bacterium. RNAcentral describes it as "partial 16S ribosomal RNA". It matches the Rfam family "Bacterial small subunit ribosomal RNA", at positions 28 to 507 of the family's 1533-position model. The record is from RNAcentral.